Molecule: ribosomal RNA, 629 nt
Filed under: uncultured Pseudomonadota bacterium
Lineage: Bacteria; Pseudomonadati; Pseudomonadota
Description: bacterial SSU rRNA
Rfam family: Bacterial small subunit ribosomal RNA
Source: RNAcentral
AUUGAACGCUGGCGGCAUGCCUUACACAUGCAAGUCGAACGGCAGCACGGGGGCAACCCUGGUGGCGAGUGGCGAACGGGUGAGUAAUGCAUCGGAACGUGCCCAGUAGUGGGGGAUAACCAGUCGAAAGACUGGCUAAUACCGCAUACGACCUACGGGUGAAAGCGGGGGACCGUAAGGCCUCGCGCUAUUGGAGCGGCCGAUGUCUGAUUAGCUAGUUGGCGGGGUAAGAGCCCACCAAGGCGACGAUCAGUAGCUGGUCUGAGAGGACGACCAGCCACACUGGGACUGAGACACGGCCCAGACUCCUACGGGAGGCAGCAGUGGGGAAUUUUGGACAAUGGGCGCAAGCCUGAUCCAGCCAUUCCGCGUGAGUGAAGAAGGCCUUCGGGUUGUAAAGCUCUUUCGGACGGGACGAAAUGGUUACGGUGAAUAACUGUGACUGAUGACGGUACCGUAAUAAGAAGCACCGGCUAACUACGUGCCAGCAGCCGCGGUAAUACGUAGGGUGCAAGCGUUAAUCGGAAUUACUGGGCGUAAAGCGUACGCAGGCGGCUUUGCAAGACAGGUGUGAAAUCCCCGGGCCUAACCUGGGAACUGCAUUUGUGACUGCAUGGCUAGAGUCUGUC